GGAAAGUUGCAAAGAACUUGAAGAGAGAGUUAAAAGGACGUGAAACCGCUUGGAAGGAAACGGGUGGAGCUGCUAUGCAGUCCCCAAAAUUCAGUCUUCCUUCGACCGACCUUUUGGAACCGAUCGUAAGACGGGACCCUUUGGCUCGGUUCGUUUGGUUGAUGCAUUUUUUGGGGAUGAGCGUCACGACCGAUUGACCUUCCGACAGAAAGGUGGUAGGAAUGCCGACUUACGCUUAGGCGUUUGUGACCCUUCCGCUACUCUGUUCGGGUAAGGACGAUCGAGUAUAGACCGUGUCGGCUGUCGCUUAGAUUUUGUCUAAACUAUCGGACUUACUUGCAAGUCGAGCUUGCUCGGCGGGCAGACCCCCGGUGGGAAGUGACUUAAUCUUUGCGUUAGACGCAAAUGGUCUGUGACGUCUGAGUCAGUCACCCACCCGACCCGUCUUGAAACACGGACCAAGAAGUCUAACAUGUGCGCAAGUCAUUGGGUUUUAAACCCAAAGGCGAAAUGAAAGUGAAACAUGGUGGGAUUCCUAGUCUUCGGACUGGGACGCACCACUGUCCCGUCUGAUCUGCAUGUCAGAUAGGCGGAGAAAGAGCGUACACGUUGGGACCCGAAAGAUGGUGAACUAUGCCUGAGCAGGAUGAAGCCAGAGGAAACUCUGGUGGAAGUCCGUAGCGGUUCUGACGUGCAAAUCGAUCGUCAGACUUGGGUAUAGGGGCGAAAGACUAAUCGAACCAUCUAGUAGCUGU
This 755-nucleotide ribosomal RNA is filed under the name Alaimus sp. SK-2012. RNAcentral describes it as "eukaryotic LSU rRNA". It matches the Rfam family "Eukaryotic large subunit ribosomal RNA", at positions 358 to 954 of the family's 3401-position model. The record is from RNAcentral. Lineage: Eukaryota; Metazoa; Nematoda; Enoplea; Enoplida; Alaimidae.